This 309-nucleotide ribosomal RNA is filed under the name uncultured archaeon. Its description in RNAcentral is "bacterial SSU rRNA". It matches the Rfam family "Archaeal small subunit ribosomal RNA", at positions 526 to 834 of the family's 1478-position model. The record is from RNAcentral.
CGGGUUUACAAGUCCCUUGUGAAAUCGGGCGGCCCAACCGUUCGGCUUGCAAGGGAAACUGUGAACCUAGGGGCCGGGAGACGCCAAGGGUACUCCGGGGGUAGCGGUGAAAUGCUGUAAUCCUCGGGGGACCGCCAAUGGCGAAAGCACUUGGCGAGAACGGACCCGACGGUGAGGGACGAAAGCCAGGGGAGCGAACCGGAUUAGAUACCCGGGUAGUCCUGGCCGUAAAGAAUGCAGGUUAGGUGCUGGAUGUCCCUCGAGGGCGUUCGGUGCCGUAGGGAAGCCGUUAAACCUGCCGCCUGGGGA